UUUUACCAACACCAGACACUGUUAAUUAAGUAUAGUCAUCCUGAAGUAAUGGUUUGAAUAGUGACUCCAGGAAGAGUAUUGCUGUGUUAUAUGUCACUAAUUGGAGAUUCCUUAUAUAAACCAACAAACAAUGACAAUAGAAUAUGUUUGUUGCAGUUUGUCAAACUCCUAUACGCACAAAAUCAGGGAGCGGGUACCACUGGACUGAAAAACCAUUGACAGGAUCCCGCUUCAUGUUUGACGUGGAAGCCACAAGUGACGCCAUUGUGGCAUUGUCAUCCAAGGAAAAAAAGCCGGAUGACAUGUAUAAGAUUUUUAUCGGUGGCAAGAAAAACACAGAGUCUACCAUACACCGCAUCAAGAGCGGUAUCCUCACAGAAGCCGAGACAUUUAACUUCGUCUCCCCGACAGAGUUCAAAAUGUUCUGGAUUACGUGGUCUUUGGAUGGAACCAUUGCUGUUGGGAGGGAGAAUGAAACUCAGCCGUUCUUGGAGUACAAAGACCCAAACCCCCUGCCCAUCAUGUAUAUGCUGGACUAGCUACUAACGGAAACGGCGAUCCUGCACGGUGGUAUCUUUGUCACAUUGCUACGCCUGAAGAUCAUCUACAUUAUGGGAAAGACUGCCAGGUGGACCCCAACAUUAGGAGGGCGUGCGGCUGGGAUGGAAUCACACCAGAUAAGUGUCGUAAGAAAGGAUGUUGCUAUGAUGAUUCCGUGGAUCAUGCAAAAUGGUGCUAUCAGUAUCACAAACUGUAGGUUCAGGCACUUUUUAUGUUUCAGUGUGCAAAUGUAAUUUCUGACUUUGUAUUGAUAUUGUAUUGUAUUGUCUGUUUUACCCUCCCUUCCACUUGUAUACUAGUAUUUCUUGUGGCAAAUCCAAGUAAAUAAAUAUAAUUGUGCACCUUCCCUAUACAUUUUUCACUGUAAUUUUGACAGUGCGCAGUACCUUUUAACUAGUCUGUAUAUUGGACUAACAAAAAAUCAUCACUUUUCUAGUAACAGAAAGUAUGAAGUCAGUUUCUGUCAGAUUUCCAUUUUUGCAUGGCUUAUGUAAACUACGUCCCAAAAUCUACGUCACAACACGCUUGAGUUUAAUACAUUGUUGAUGUUUUAAUCUAUAUAAGGAGAUUGGUGUUACUGUGCCUUUGUGUUACUGUGCAUUUUGAUGUUUAAACCUAUAGCAGGAGAAAGUUAUUAUUGUACCUUUCGAUGUUUUCAUCUAUAGCAGAUGAAUGUUGUUACUGUGCAUUUAAAUUUGUAAAUAUAGCAGAAGAAUGGCGUUACUGUCACAGUAGAUUUCGAUGUUUAAAACUAUAGCAGGAGAAUGGUG
Molecule: RNA transcript, 1331 nt
Organism: Branchiostoma belcheri (Belcher's lancelet)
Lineage: Eukaryota; Metazoa; Chordata; Leptocardii; Amphioxiformes; Branchiostomatidae
Exons: 3
Source: RefSeq, a predicted model, not a curated record